UGGACAGAUUAUUGUAUUCGACUGUAUUCACGGCGUGAAAUAAGGGAUUACAUUGUUUUUAAAACGAAAGUGAAUCAAUUAACAUAAUAGUGUAACU
This 97-nucleotide microRNA precursor is filed under the name Nicotiana attenuata. RNAcentral describes it as "MIR6152 microRNA precursor family". It matches the Rfam family "MIR6152 microRNA precursor family". Lineage: Eukaryota; Viridiplantae; Streptophyta; Magnoliopsida; Solanales; Solanaceae. The record is from Rfam by way of RNAcentral.